Unclassified non-coding RNA from Chlorocebus sabaeus (green monkey), 113 nucleotides. It matches the Rfam family "Y RNA". From Rfam's summary of the family: Y RNAs are components of the Ro ribonucleoprotein particle (Ro RNP), in association with Ro60 and La proteins. The Y RNAs and Ro60 and La proteins are well conserved, but the function of the Ro RNP is not known. Lineage: Eukaryota; Metazoa; Chordata; Mammalia; Primates; Cercopithecidae. The record is from Ensembl.
GGCUGGUCUAAAGAUAGUUAAGUUAUCUCAAUUUAUUUUCACAAUCAGUUACAGAUCAAACUCUUUGUUCUACUCUUCUCCCCCUUCUCACUACUGCACUUGACUAGUCUAAA